GUCAGGAUGGCUGAGUGGUCUAAGGUGCCAGACUUAAGGCUUAAUGCUUUCUAGUGGGAUGGGUGUUCUGGUCUCCCAAAGGAGGUGUGGGUUCAAAUCCCCCUUCUGACA
This 111-nucleotide transfer RNA is filed under the name Scleropages formosus (Asian bonytongue). It matches the Rfam family "tRNA". Rfam says of the family: Transfer RNA (tRNA) molecules are approximately 80 nucleotides in length. Their secondary structure includes four short double-helical elements and three loops (D, anti-codon, and T loops). Lineage: Eukaryota; Metazoa; Chordata; Actinopteri; Osteoglossiformes; Osteoglossidae. The record is from Rfam by way of RNAcentral.